UUGUCAAAACACUUUCCAGACAAACUGUGUGGAAUCCGUGAACGCUAAAAAGUGUGUGUCACUCUCAUAUGUAUUAAAUACGAUAUUGAUUCCCAACUGGAUUCCCAAGUAAUGACUCCGUGACGCACUCCAGCCCACAAGGGGAAUGACAGGCAAAUUCAAGAGCUACUCCAAGUACUUCUAGCCAUCUUGGGGGGUCCUAUUCUGCUUCCGAGCCGAUGCUGUGUUCCGGAGCAUGCUAAUUGUUUGCAAUUAUGCUUUGAGCGAGCUUCACUUUGCAAUGAAAACGAAACGGAAUGGAAAUUUAAGAGGAAGAUUUUGUAAGCACAUUUCGUAGAGGAGGAAGCGGCACGUCAAUUGCAUUAAAAUGAUGAAAAUUCUCCCAGUGAAGAGCCACCACUUGAAACGGAAUUAGGUACGAGCAUUAACGGGAUCGACAGCAGCUGUGUUAUUUUACCGUCCAAUGCGAGGCGUGGAUAAUUUAAUGUUUUAUUCACACUCACACACACACACACACACACACAUGAACGCACGCAGCGAGGAGAGUAAAUAAAUAAAUGCCAACAUUUACUGUGCGAAACAACAACAAUAACACACACUCGUACUGGUAAUAAUUUAAGCGCAAAAGUGCUGCUUAAAAGCUAUUAACUGUGAUGUCAGAGAGCCAUCUGUACACCCUGGGAAAAGAGUGUGGGUGACUGUUUAUUUGGGAAUUGUUUCGUGAAAUUGGACCUCAGAUGUAAAGAUCAAUGAACUCCAUAUUGGGCUCAAGCUGCCGGAAAGAUGUUUAGCCGUUUCGGAUCCGCUAUAGAACCUUUUUGCAGUCAUUUGCAGGAAAAGUUUUAUCGCAGUGCAAGCUUUGAAUGUGGGUAAUGUCAAUCCAGAAUAGUAUACAGAAAUCUAAUAUACAAUUUUUGAAAGACUUAAAUUAUAUUAAAUUAUUAUAUCUAAUCCAAAUCAAGUUUGUUUAACCACAUUUUCUCACUGUAUGCAAAUGGCAUACCUGGAAUGGUUUGAAUGCUUUCCAAAGGACUGUGGCUAGAAAUGCGGUUUGUGCCUGUGCCGGAGGCACUUUGAGACAUUGUUGCAGACAGCACAAUGUGCAUAGAAUUACCGCACUUCAAGGCAGCAAGAGACAACAAUUAUUUUUUAUUUCAAAUGUGUUCCCACACACCCAGUGCUCUGGGGAAAUGGAAAAACAAAACGAGAGACAGCGCCAGCAGCGGCACCAGCAACGGCACCAGCAACGGCAGCCUCUGUCCAUUAUAAAGUUUAUCCGGAGAAGCGGAA
Drosophila pseudoobscura is the source of this 1290-nucleotide long non-coding RNA. RefSeq lists it as uncharacterized. Lineage: Eukaryota; Metazoa; Arthropoda; Insecta; Diptera; Drosophilidae. The transcript is spliced from 3 exons. The record is from RefSeq and is a predicted model, not a curated record.